This is a long non-coding RNA of Apis florea (little honeybee), 749 nucleotides long. The record is from RefSeq and is a predicted model, not a curated record. Lineage: Eukaryota; Metazoa; Arthropoda; Insecta; Hymenoptera; Apidae.
AAGCAGUUAAUAUCUAACCGCGAAAUGAAUCAUUGCGCAUCACGAUGCGCAUGGCGUUAGUCUACAGUCGAAAAUCAUAGUGACAGGUUGCGUUUUACCGGUUAAAGUGUAUAAUUACGUAAAAUUUUCAUUAAUAAACUAUCGUUUUAAGUUUAAUUGUAGAUUAUUAAGUUUUAUUUAAUUAUUACGUGUUUGUUUAAUCAUUAUUGUAUCAAAAUUGAAUGGUAUUUAGACUUUUAUCGUCUUUCUAAACUUUAUUCGUUCGAUUAGAAUUUCGAUGACUUCGAAAGCAUAUUAGUUUUCACACAUGCCAUGAUAAUUAAGAGAUAAUCCGAAGAAUUCAUCGAAUAAGAUUCUCUUAUCGGAUGAUACAAUAUUCUUCUGAACUUCGGUAGCAGUUCUUCGCAUCGAAUGGAAUCACGCGGGAUAGUUUAAAAAAGUUGGAUUAUAGCAUGCUAGAUGGCGUAAGGAACACAAUCGAGGUCGGUAUGUUAAAAUAUACGAUGGAAAGUUCCGUAAGAUGUCACCACUCGCCUGUUCUUGGUCGGUGUAACAGGUUAUGUAUUUAUAUAUUACAAACAUUUCAACAAUUUCAUCAACAAUUUAUUCCACGUUUUAUCAACUUGUAAUUAUUACCAUUAAUUUGUAGUUCGAUACAUCCAAUCCCUGUAUUACAUAUUGUUGGUAAAGUAAUCUUUUUACAAUUGACAGUAUAAUCGCAAUAGUUAAAAUAUUUUUAUUCUUGUUAA